This 916-nucleotide ribosomal RNA is filed under the name uncultured bacterium. RNAcentral describes it as "bacterial SSU rRNA". It matches the Rfam family "Bacterial small subunit ribosomal RNA", at positions 246 to 1155 of the family's 1533-position model. The record is from RNAcentral.
UUGUUGGUAAGGUAAAAGCUUACCAAGGCUUCGAUCAGUAGCUGGUCUGAGAGGACGACCAGCCACACUGGGACUGAGACACGGCCCAGACUCCUACGGGAGGCAGCAGUGGGGAAUUUUGGACAAUGGGGGCAACCCUGAUCCAGCCAUGCCGCGUGAGUGAAGAAGGCCUUCGGGUUGUAAAGCUCUUUCAGCCGGAACGAAACGGUUACGGAUAACACCCGUGACUACUGACGGUACCGGAAGAAGAAGCACCGGCUAACUACGUGCCAGCAGCCGCGGUAAUACGUAGGGUGCGAGCGUUAAUCGGAAUUACUGGGCGUAAAGCGUGCGCAGGUGGUUUUGUAAGUCAGAUGUGAAAGCCCCGGGCUCAACCUGGGAACUGCGUUUGAAACUACAAGACUAGAGUGUGGCAGAGGGGGGUGGAAUUCCGCGUGUAGCAGUGAAAUGCGUAGAGAUGUGGAGGAACACCGAUGGCGAAGGCAGCCCCCUGGGUCAACACUGACGCUCAGGCACGAAAGCAUGGGGAGCAAACAGGAUUAGAUACCCUGGUAGUCCAUGCCCUAAACGAUGUCAACUAGUUGUCGGGCCUUUACGGGCUUGGUAACGUAGCUAACGCGUGAAGUUGACCGCCUGGGGAGUACGAUCGCAAGAUUAGAACUCAAAUGAAUUGACGGGGACCCGCACAAGCGGUGGAUUAUGUGGAUUAAUUCGAUGCAACGCGAAAAACCUUACCUACCCUUGACAUGUAUCGAAGCCCGCAGAAAAGCGGGGGUGCCCGAAAGGGAACGAUAACACAGGUGCUGCAUGGCUGUCGUCAGCUCGUGUCGUGAGAUGUUGGGUUAAGUCCCGCAACGAGCGCAACCCUUGUCAUUAAUUGCCAUCAUUUAGUUGGGCACUUUAAUGAGACUGCCGG